CCUAGGGUGGCAGCAGUGAGGAAUAUUGGUCAAUGGGCGCGAGCCUGAACCAGCCAAGUAGCGUGAAGGAUGACUGCCCUACGGGUUGUAAACUUCUUUUAUAAAGGAAUAAAGUGAGGCACGUGUGCCUUUUUGUAUGUACUUUAUGAAUAAGGAUCGGCUAACUCCGUGCCAGCAGCCGCGGUAAUACGGAGGAUCCGAGCGUUAUCCGGAUUUAUUGGGUUUAAAGGGAGCGUAGAUGGGUUGUUAAGUUAGUUGUGAAAGUUUGCGGCUCAACCGUAAAAUUGCAAUUGAUACUGGCAGCCUUGAGUACAGUUGAGGUAGGCGGAAUUCGUGGUGUAGCGGUGAAAUGCAUAGAUAUCGCGCAGAACUCCGAUUGCGAAGGCAGCGUACCGGCGCCGAACUGACGCUGAGGCACGAAAGCGUGGGUAUCGAACAGGAUUAGAUACCCCUGUAGUC
This 459-nucleotide ribosomal RNA is filed under the name uncultured bacterium. RNAcentral's name for it is "partial 16S ribosomal RNA". It matches the Rfam family "Bacterial small subunit ribosomal RNA", at positions 338 to 795 of the family's 1533-position model. The record is from RNAcentral.